AGUGAACGCUGGCGGUAGGCCUAAUACAUGCAAGUCGAACGGCAGCACAGUAAGCGCUCGCUCUUAAGGGUGGCGACGGGCGGAUGAGUGAGGAAUGCAUCGGAUACUACUUUUUCUUGGGGGAUAACGGAGGACAAGUUACAAUACUACCGCAUAUAUUCUACGGCUGGAAGCAAUGGAUCUUCGGGGUUUUCGUGUUUGAUUUAGCCGGUGCCGGAUUAGCUAGUUGGCUGGGUAAAGGCCCACCAAGGCGACGAUGCGUAGCGGGUCUGAGAGGAUGAUCAGCCACACUGGAACUGAGACACGGUCCAGACUCCUACGGGAGGCAGCAGUGGGGAAUAUUGGACAAUGGGCGCAAGCCUGAUCCAGCCAUGCCGCGUGGGUGAAGAAGGCCUUCGGGUUGUAAAGCCCUUUUGUUGGGGAAGAAAAGCAGCAGGUUAAUACCCCGCUGUUCUGACGGUACCCAAAGAGUAAGCACCGGCUAACUUCGUG
This 492-nucleotide ribosomal RNA is filed under the name uncultured bacterium. RNAcentral describes it as "partial 16S ribosomal RNA". It matches the Rfam family "Bacterial small subunit ribosomal RNA", at positions 29 to 507 of the family's 1533-position model. The record is from RNAcentral.